CUAGUAUUUUACCCACCGGUCCUUCAAACACUCAUAGACUCACAUGUGGUACUGGGGGUGACCUGCACGGUGUGUUAGGUAAUUUGCAGUGCGACUCUUACGUCACAUAUUCCAUCACGGUUGUCCUAGCUCACAAAUCUUUUCUUUCACAGAAGCCACUUGACCAUAAGUACAGGUAUUUUCGCCGUGUUCCUGUCCAAGAGGCAGAUCACAACUUUCAUGUGGGGCUGCAGCUGUGCUCCAGUGGCCACCAGAGGUUCAACAAACUCAUCUGGAUCCACCACUCUUGUCACAUCACUUACAGAUCGACUGGUGAGACUGCAGUGAGUGCUUUUGAUAUUGACAAGAUGUACACCCCCUUGUUCUUCGCCAGAGUGAGAAGCUACACGGCGUUCUCCGAGAGGCCUCUGUAGAGCCUCGCCAGCGUCACUGCUGCAUGAGCAGAAGCAUAGAGUGCCAGAAUACCUAAGUUAUAUGUACAUAUACAUACGUGUGUAUAUACAUGCAUAGAUACAUACAUGGAGUUGGAACUUACUUUAUGUUGUUGGAAUUCCUUUAAGAAGAGUAUAAAUUAUUUUUUUUAUUUAAAAGGAUAGUUGAUUCCUGGGGUACUUUGUUUUGAAAUUAGAAGUUGUUAAGAACACUUUCGUUGUAAUAAACCUUACUGUAGAGUUUAAAUCAUGUUUUCCAGCUGGUUUCUGAGCAGAUGUGUCUCGCACUGCCUUGUGCCUGAGCAUCCUCACACUCACAUACGUCAGGGACACGCUGGACAGUAGCUAUUCCCGCAUGAGCUAGUGUCUCUGCACCACACUCAAACUGUGAAGCCUGUUCUGGAGUCGUUGAAACUGUUCAAUAAAGAUUAUA
Molecule: long non-coding RNA, 864 nt
Filed under: Rattus norvegicus (Norway rat)
Lineage: Eukaryota; Metazoa; Chordata; Mammalia; Rodentia; Muridae
Description: long non-coding RNA NONRATT028800
Source: RNAcentral